UACGUAGGGCGCAAGCGUUGUCCGGAAUUAUUGGGCGUAAAGAGCUCGUAGGCGGCUUGUCACGUCGGGUGUGAAAGCCCGGGGCUUAACCCCGGGUCUGCAUUCGAUACGGGCUAGCUAGAGUGUGGUAGGGGAGAUCGGAAUUCCUGGUGUAGCGGUGAAAUGCGCAGAUAUCAGGAGGAACACCGGUGGCGAAGGCGGAUCUCUGGGCCAUUACUGACACUGAGAAGCGAAAGCAUGGGGAGCGAACAGG
RNAcentral lists this ribosomal RNA (253 nucleotides) under uncultured bacterium. RNAcentral's name for it is "partial 16S ribosomal RNA". It matches the Rfam family "Bacterial small subunit ribosomal RNA", at positions 524 to 776 of the family's 1533-position model. The record is from RNAcentral.